UAACAUCGCACGUACCACAUUAACAUAAAUAGUUAUGAUAG
Molecule: small RNA, 41 nt
Filed under: Plasmodium falciparum 3D7
Lineage: Eukaryota; Apicomplexa; Aconoidasida; Haemosporida; Plasmodiidae
Description: Pfa-starR6365
Source: RNAcentral